AAAUUGAAGAGUUUGAUCAUGGCUCAGAUUGAACGCUGGCGGCAGGCCUAACACAUGCAAGUCGAACGGUAACAGGAAGCAGCUUGCUGCUUCGCUGACGAGUGGCGGACGGGUGAGUAAUGUCUGGGAAACUGCCUGAUGGAGGGGGAUAACUACUGGAAACGGUGGCUAAUACCGCAUAACGUCGCAAGACCAAAGAGGGGGACCUUCGGGCCUCUUGCCAUCAGAUGUGCCCAGAUGGGAUUAGCUGGUUGGUGAGGUAACGGCUCACCAAGGCGACGAUCCCUAGCUGGUCUGAGAGGAUGACCAGCCACACUGGAACUGAGACACGGUCCAGACUCCUACGGGAGGCAGCAGUGGGGAAUAUUGCACAAUGGGCGCAAGCCUGAUGCAGCCAUGCCGCGUGUAUGAAGAAGGCCUUCGGGUUGUAAAGUACUUUCAGCGGGGAGGAAGGUGUUGUGGUUAAUAACCACAGCAAUUGACGUUACCCGCAGAAGAAGCACCGGCUAACUCCGUGCCAGCAGCCGCGGUAAUACGGAGGGUGCAAGCGUUAAUCGGAAUUACUGGGCGUAAAGCGCACGCAGGCGGUCUGUCAAGUCGGAUGUGAAAUCCCCGGGCUCAACCUGGGAACUGCAUUCGAAACUGGCAGGCUUGAGUCUUGUAGAGGGGGGUAGAAUUCCAGGUGUAGCGGUGAAAUGCGUAGAGAUCUGGAGGAAUACCGGUGGCGAAGGCGGCCCCCUGGACAAAGACUGACGCUCAGGUGCGAAAGCGUGGGGAGCAAACAGGAUUAGAUACCCUGGUAGUCCACGCCGUAAACGAUGUCUACUUGGAGGUUGUGCCCUUGAGGCGUGGCUUCCGGAGCUAACGCGUUAAGUAGACCGCCUGGGGAGUACGGCCGCAAGGUUAAAACUCAAAUGAAUUGACGGGGGCCCGCACAAGCGGUGGAGCAUGUGGUUUAAUUCGAUGCAACGCGAAGAACCUUACCUGGUCUUGACAUCCACAGAAGAAUCCAGAGAUGGAUUUGUGCCUUCGGGAACUGUGAGACAGGUGCUGCAUGGCUGUCGUCAGCUCGUGUUGUGAAAUGUUGGGUUAAGUCCCGCAACGAGCGCAACCCUUAUCCUUUGUUGCCAGCGGUUAGGCCGGGAACUCAAAGGAGACUGCCAGUGAUAAACUGGAGGAAGGUGGGGAUGACGUCAAGUCAUCAUGGCCCUUACGACCAGGGCUACACACGUGCUACAAUGGCGCAUACAAAGAGAAGCGACCUCGCGAGAGCAAGCGGACCUCAUAAAGUGCGUCGUAGUCCGGAUUGGAGUCUGCAACUCGACUCCAUGAAGUCGGAAUCGCUAGUAAUCGUGGAUCAGAAUGCCACGGUGAAUACGUUCCCGGGCCUUGUACACACCGCCCGUCACACCAUGGGAGUGGGUUGCAAAAGAAGUAGGUAGCUUAACCUUCGGGAGGGCGCUUACCACUUUGUGAUUCAUGACUGGGGUGAAGUCGUAACAAGGUAACCGUAGGGGAACCUGCGGUUGGAUCACCUCCUUACCUUAAAGAA
Molecule: ribosomal RNA, 1552 nt
Filed under: Salmonella enterica subsp. enterica serovar Senftenberg
Lineage: Bacteria; Pseudomonadati; Pseudomonadota; Gammaproteobacteria; Enterobacterales; Enterobacteriaceae
Description: bacterial SSU rRNA
Rfam family: Bacterial small subunit ribosomal RNA
Source: RNAcentral